UUCUGGUUGAUCCUGCCAGAGGCGACCGCUUUUGGAGUUCGAUUAAGCCAUGCGAGUAGAAAGAAAUUAGAUUCUUUGCAAACUGCUCAGUAACACGUGGAUAACCUGCCCUAUGCUCCGGAAUAACCUCGGGAAACUGAGAAUAAUACCGGAUAGAUCACAACGCCUGGAACGGUGUGUGGUUCAAAGGUCACGGCAUAGGAUGGGUCUGCGGCGUAUCAGGUCGUAGGGGGUGUAACGGACCUCCUAGCCAUCGACGCGUACGGGUGUUGGGAGACAUAGCCCGGAGAUGGAUUCUGAGACACGAAUCCAGACCCUACGGGGUGCAGCAGGCGCGAAAACUUCACACUGCAGGAAACUGUGAUGAGGGAACUCCAAGUGCGCGCACUUAGUGUGCGCUUUUCUUGACUAUUAAUCGGUCAUGGAAUAAGGGCUGGGAAAGACCGGUGCCAGCCGCCGCGGUAAUACCGGCAGCUCAAGUGGUCGUCGCUUUUAUUGGGCCUAAAACGUCCGUAGCCUGUUUGGUAAAUCUGUGGGUAAAUCAACCAGCUUAACUGGUUGAAUUCUGCAGAGACUGCCAGACUAGGGACCGGGAGAGGUGUGGGGUACUCUAGGGGUAGGGGUAAAAUCCUGUCAUCCUUAGAGGACCACCAGUUGCGAAGGCGCCACACUGGAACGGAUCCGACGGUCAGGGACGAAGCCUAGGGGCACGAACCGGAUUAGAUACCCGGGUAGUCCUAGGUGUAAACGCUGUGAACUUGGUGUCGGGAGUCCGCAAUGGGCCCCCGGUGCCGGAGUGAAGAUGUUAAGUUCACUGCCUGGGGAGUACGGUCGCAAGGCUGAAACUUAAAGGAAUUGGCGGGGGAGCACUGCAACGGGAGGAGCGUGCGGUUUAAUUGGACUCAACGCCGGGA
This 914-nucleotide ribosomal RNA is filed under the name uncultured Candidatus Poseidoniales archaeon. Its description in RNAcentral is "bacterial SSU rRNA". It matches the Rfam family "Archaeal small subunit ribosomal RNA", at positions 1 to 923 of the family's 1478-position model. Lineage: Archaea; Methanobacteriati; Thermoplasmatota; Candidatus Poseidoniia; Candidatus Poseidoniales. The record is from RNAcentral.